GAUGAACGCUGGCGGCGUGCUUAACACAUGCAAGUCGAACGACGAAGCCCAGCGUGCUGGGUGGUUUAGUGGCGAACGGGUGAGUAACACGUGAGUAACCUGCCCUUAACUCUGGGAUAAGCCUGGGCGACUGGGUCUAAUACCGGAUAGGAGCGCCUACCGCCUGGUGGGUGUUGGAAAGAUUUAUCGGUUUUGGAUGGACGUGCGCCGUAUCCGCAUGUUCGUGUGGUAAUGGCUCACCCAGGCGAAGGCGGAUAGCCGGCCUUAGAGGGUGAGCGGCCACACUGGGACUGAGAGACGGCGCAGACGCCUACGGGAGGCAGCAGUGGGGAGUAUGACACAGUGGGCGAAAGUCUGAGGCAGCGACGCCGGGUGAGGGAUGACGGCCUUCUGGUUGUAAACCGCUUUCAGUAGGGAAGAAGCGAUAGUGACGGUACCUGAAGAAGAAGCACCGGCUAACUACGUG
RNAcentral lists this ribosomal RNA (466 nucleotides) under uncultured bacterium. RNAcentral describes it as "partial 16S ribosomal RNA". It matches the Rfam family "Bacterial small subunit ribosomal RNA", at positions 28 to 507 of the family's 1533-position model. The record is from RNAcentral.